Molecule: small RNA, 4261 nt
Filed under: Pan troglodytes (chimpanzee)
Lineage: Eukaryota; Metazoa; Chordata; Mammalia; Primates; Hominidae
Description: retained intron
Source: RNAcentral
CCAGUAAAAACUUCUGUUAUAAUCCCUUUAGUCCUCUUUUUUUCAGUUUUUAUGAAGAACAGUUUGUCAGCAUCUUCAUUUAUGCAGGACAAUGUAAUUUGACCCAGUCUCCAUCGAAGGCAAGAGAUUAUAAGAAGGAAGGAGAUAAAAAUGAUUCAAGUUGUUUUGAACUUCCUUAUGUGCUAGAUAAUAUGGAUAACAUGAAAGAUGCCACAUACAUUAUUCCAUAGUAAAUAGGCAUUAUCUUAAGUAGUCAUUGUUUUUAAGUAACCUACCAGGUCACAUAUCUAAGCCCCGUUUUUCACUGAUUGAAGAUCUUUUACAUGUUGUAAAGGUUUGUUUUUUUGGUUAUUGUUUUUUAAAUAGCCCCACAUGGUUAUCCUUUUAUAUUAUGAUUUUGUAAUUCAGGUUUAGUUUAUGGUUGUCCUUUAUCACUUGUUUUUGUCAUGCUUGUGUCUGUGCUCAUCUUGUAUGUGGUGGCAGAACGCAACAGUUGUCCCUUUUGAAUUUUACUUUUGUUUUGUAAAAACCUAAAAUGCAAAGUUCCUUUGUUAUGCUUUCUUAAUUGUGUUGACAUAAGGUUGUGGGUUUUGUUUUCAAGAUUUCCUUGAUAGCUGCCGUGCCAGUACUCUAUUGGCUGAGCUCGAUGAUGAUGAGGACUUACCUGAGCCAGAUGAAGAAGAUGAUGAGAAUGAAGAUGACAAUCAGGAGGACCAAGAAUACGAGGAGAUUCUGAGACGCCCAUCCCUGCAACGUCGAGCUGGCUCCCGCUCUGAUGUAACGCAUCAUGCUGUUACCUCGCAGCUACCACAGGUACCUGCUGGAGCAGGGAGCCGACCUAUUGGGGAGCAGGAAGAAGAAGAGUACGAAACUAAAGGAGGACGCCGGAGAACAUGGGAUGAUGAUUAUGUGCUAAAGAGACAGUUUUCUGCAUUGGUUCCUGCUUUUGAUCCUAGACCUGGUCGUACUAAUGUCCAGCAGACAACUGAUCUAGAAAUACCACCCCCAGGGACCCCUCAUUCAGAGCUCUUGGAAGAAGUCGAAUGUACUCCGUCACCUCGAUUAGCUCUCACUUUGAAAGUAACAGGUCUUGGAACGACUCGUGAAGUUGAAUUACCACUCACCAAUUUCAGAUCAACCAUCUUUUACUAUGUACAAAAAUUGCUUCAAUUGUCCUGUAAUGGCAAUGUGAAAUCAGAUAAACUUAGGCGUAUUUGGGAGCCCACAUACACAAUCAUGUACAGAGAAAUGAAGGAUUCUGAUAAAGAAAAGGAAAAUGGAAAAAUGGGUUGCUGGUCUAUAGAGCAUGUGGAGCAGUACCUUGGCACUGAUGAAUUACCAAAGAAUGACUUGAUAACCUACCUGCAGAAGAAUGCAGACGCUGCUUUCCUGCGCCACUGGAAAUUAACUGGCACUAAUAAAAGUAUUAGGAAAAACAGAAAUUGUUCUCAGCUCAUAGCUGCAUAUAAGGAUUUUUGUGAGCAUGGAACAAAGUCUGGGUUAAACCAGGGGGCCAUUUCUACUCUUCAAAGUAGUGAUAUUCUUAAUUUAACAAAAGAACAACCUCAGGCCAAAGCAGGCAAUGGACAGAACUCUUGUGGAGUAGAAGAUGUCCUUCAGCUUCUGCGUAUUCUGUAUAUAGUUGCAAGUGACCCUUAUUCAAGAAUAUCCCAGGAAGAUGGUGAUGAACAGCCUCAGUUUACUUUUCCACCAGAUGAAUUCACUAGCAAAAAAAUUACAACAAAAAUAUUACAGCAGAUUGAGGAACCAUUGGCACUGGCAAGUGGGGCUCUGCCAGACUGGUGUGAACAAUUAACCAGCAAAUGUCCUUUUCUAAUACCAUUUGAAACUAGACAGCUUUAUUUCACAUGUACAGCAUUUGGCGCCUCAAGAGCAAUAGUAUGGUUACAGAACCGACGUGAAGCCACUGUGGAACGAACGAGAACCACAAGCAGUGUUAGGCGAGAUGACCCUGGAGAGUUUCGAGUUGGUCGUCUCAAGCAUGAAAGAGUAAAAGUUCCACGUGGCGAGUCACUGAUGGAAUGGGCUGAGAAUGUCAUGCAAAUACAUGCAGAUCGGAAAUCAGUUCUUGAGGUUGAGUUUUUAGGAGAAGAAGGAACUGGCUUGGGACCCACAUUAGAGUUUUAUGCUCUAGUGGCAGCAGAAUUCCAGAGAACUGACUUGGGAGCUUGGCUUUGUGAUGAUAAUUUUCCAGAUGAUGAAUCUCGUCACGUUGAUCUUGGAGGUGGAUUGAAACCUCCUGGAUAUUAUGUGCAGAGGUCAUGUGGACUGUUCACAGCACCAUUUCCACAGGAUAGUGAUGAGCUUGAAAGGAUCACGAAACUGUUUCAUUUCCUUGGAAUUUUCUUGGCCAAAUGCAUUCAAGACAAUAGACUUGUGGACUUACCUAUUUCUAAACCUUUUUUUAAACUUAUGUGUAUGGGUGACAUUAAAAGCAAUAUGAGUAAACUGAUUUAUGAGUCACGAGGUGAUAGAGACUUACACUGUACUGAAAGUCAGUCUGAAGCUUCUACAGAAGAAGGUCAUGAUUCACUCUCGGUAGGAAGCUUUGAAGAGGAUUCAAAAUCAGAAUUUAUUCUUGAUCCCCCUAAACCAAAACCCCCAGCUUGGUUUAAUGGAAUUUUGACUUGGGAAGACUUUGAAUUAGUAAACCCACACAGAGCCAGAUUUUUAAAAGAAAUUAAAGACCUUGCUAUCAAGAGGCGCCAAAUUUUAAGCAACAAAGGUCUUUCUGAAGAUGAGAAGAACACAAAAUUACAGGAACUAGUGCUGAAGAAUCCAUCAGGUUCUGGGCCUCCACUUAGCAUAGAGGAUUUAGGUUUAAAUUUCCAGUUUUGCCCUUCCUCAAGAAUAUAUGGUUUUACAGCUGUGGAUCUCAAGCCAAGUGGUGAAGAUGAGAUGAUAACAAUGGAUAAUGCAGAAGAAUAUGUGGAUUUGAUGUUUGACUUUUGUAUGCAUACGGGUAUUCAGAAACAAAUGGAAGCCUUUAGAGAUGGGUUUAAUAAAGUUUUUCCAAUGGAGAAAUUAAGUUCCUUCAGCCAUGAAGAAGUCCAAAUGAUUCUUUGUGGAAACCAGUCACCAUCCUGGGCAGCAGAGGAUAUUAUCAAUUACACUGAACCGAAGCUGGGUUAUACACGUGACAGCCCUGGUUUCCUGAGGUUUGUGAGGGUUUUAUGUGGCAUGUCUUCUGAUGAAAGAAAAGCAUUCUUGCAGUUUACCACUGGUUGUUCAACUCUACCCCCAGGUGGACUGGCUAACCUGCAUCCCAGGCUCACGGUUGUACGCAAGGUUGAUGCUACUGAUGCAAGCUAUCCAUCAGUCAAUACAUGUGUGCAUUACCUUAAGUUGCCUGAAUAUUCUUCCGAGGAGAUCAUGAGAGAGCGCCUGCUAGCUGCUACAAUGGAGAAAGGCUUUCAUCUCAAUUGAGCUUUGAAGUGCAAUGGGAGACAUCAGAGACUUUAAAAAUACUAGUGAAGCCUCUUGUGUUUGUGUGCAGAGAAGUAUAUGAUCCACCAUGCUAAUGACACUUGCCUUUUUUUCCACCAUUAAGGCUUUAAGAACAUGUGGAAUAAGUUUUUUAGCUGCUAAUGACAAAACAAAUCCUGUAACUACCCAGCCAGCAAGUAUAUAGCACAGAACACUGUGUUACUUUACAAGGGCUUAUGUGACUGGAAUAAGGUGGUCCCACUUGACUGUUCCAAAGAGCAGCUUCUCAGAUCUUCAGUGUUCACUGGUAAAUUUCUAACAGUGUAUUUGUGUAAAGUUUGUCAUUUCAUACUCCAUACACUACAGUUGCCGUCACUGAUCCCUGUUUUGCUGGCUUUUAAGCUACUUGGUCAAAAAUCCUGCUUCCUUAAAACAUAGAGAAUUAAUGAGCAUCUCAAGCUUUUUCUUUUCCUUUUUAAUGAUGCCUGCACUAUCAAGAGUAUUCUAGUGUUCUCUCUUUGUUUGGCAUAUAAUCAUGCACCAACCUUUUUAUUUCUUUAAGGUGGGAGUAUAUUUUUAUUUCCUAAAUGCCAUACUAUGAAGAUCAAAGUCUUAAGUGUGUUUGUGCAGCUCAAAAAUAAAGAUGUAUUAAGGGGGAAAACACUGGUCUAAGUGCAAGGCACACUUAAAGCAAGUUUUACUUUUGGUUGUAUUUUCUUUGUAUAUUAUAAACAUUUAUUUAACUUGUUGCCGUUUGAAGUAAAAAAUUUCCAAAAUGUAUGCUCAACAAUAAUCAUUAAAAUGUUUGCAGCGU